RNAcentral lists this ribosomal RNA (300 nucleotides) under uncultured Halobellus sp. RNAcentral's name for it is "bacterial SSU rRNA". It matches the Rfam family "Bacterial small subunit ribosomal RNA", at positions 496 to 795 of the family's 1533-position model. The record is from RNAcentral. Lineage: Archaea; Methanobacteriati; Methanobacteriota; Halobacteria; Halobacteriales; Haloferacaceae.
GGUAACUACGGGUGAGCGGGCGCGGGAAGACGGAGGGUACGAGCGUUGGCCGGAGGUACUGGGCGGAAAGGGGGCGGAGGCGGCCUGGCGGGGCGCGAGUGAAAUCUCCCGGCUGAACUGGGAGGGUGGUCGCGAGACGGCGAGGCUUGAGGCGUGGAGAGGGGCGUGGAAUUCCGGGUGGAGCGGUGAAAUGCGUAGAGAUCCGGAGGAACACCGACGGCGUAGGCAGCGCCCUGGACACGACCUGACGCUCAGGCACGAAAGCUCGGGGAGCGAACAGGAUUAGAUACCCCUGUAGUC